RNAcentral lists this ribosomal RNA (586 nucleotides) under uncultured eukaryote. RNAcentral describes it as "bacterial SSU rRNA". It matches the Rfam family "Eukaryotic small subunit ribosomal RNA", at positions 585 to 1204 of the family's 1831-position model. The record is from RNAcentral.
CCAGCUCCAAGAGUGUAUAUUAAAGUUGUUGCAGUUAAAACGCUCGUAGUUGAAUUUUUGAGAAGGAACUAGGGUGUACCCGAAGGGUAAUACUCUUGGAACUGCUCAUUUCUGGAUAUACUUUUAUAGUAUAUUUCCAGGGUUACUUUGAAAAAAUUAGAGUGUUCAAAGCAGGCAAUUGCUUGAAUAGAUUAGCAUGGGAUAACAAAUAGGACAUUUACCUAUUUGUUGGUUUAGAGGUGAAUGUAAUGAUUAAUAGGGACAGUUGGGGGCAUUAGUAUUCAAUUGUCAGAGGUGAAAUUCUUGGAUUUAUUGAAGACUAACUAGUGCGAAAGCAUUUGCCAAGGAUGUUUUCAUUAAUCAAGAACGAAAGUUAGGGGAUCGAAGACGAUCAGAUACCGUCGUAGUCUUAACCGUAAACGAUGCCGACUCGGGAUCGGUAGUAGUCGAAAAAGACAUUAUCGGCACCGUAAGAGAAAUCAAAGUUUUUAGGUUCUGGGGGGAGUAUGGUCGCAAGGCUGAAACUUAAAGGAAUUGACGGAAGGGCACCACCAGGAGUGGAGCCUGCGGCUUAAUUCGACUCAAC